Long non-coding RNA from Octopus bimaculoides (California two-spot octopus), 524 nucleotides. The record is from RefSeq and is a predicted model, not a curated record. NCBI's taxonomy places the organism in Eukaryota, Metazoa, Mollusca, Cephalopoda, Octopoda, Octopodidae.
UCUCCUGCAGAAAGGAACAAGGGGAGAAAACAGUUGGAAAGAGGUAAAAAAAAUGGAGAGAAAAAAAGAAUGUGUCUAUACACACACACACACACACACGUGUGUAUGUGUGUGUGUCGACACAUAAAAAACUAUAUAUCAUACAACUAAGUGGACAGGCACAAUGAUACUUGAAUCUGUUGGCCAUAAAAACAGCGUAACACUUGCAGAUCAUAUUUCAAAUGUGGGUGUUUCACAGAGAAGGUUAACGUUCUGUCAAUUUGGACAGCUAUGUGUAUGUAAGAUAUUCUACCAAACCAUGGAAAUGAUGUAGAGUGGGCUUGGUGAUGGUCAUAUCUGGAAAGGGAUGGGUUCUGUCAUGCCUAAAAAUGCCCAAAAUAUGCUGGGUGUCAUGAUGGCAUCUCUAUGACGCUGUUAGGCCUUGAGGGCACAGAGCCAAGAGAAACAAACAAACAUGUUGCUAUUUAAAGAAGAAGCAAAACAGAUUUUUAAGAUUGUGGAAGUAGUGAGAUUGCUUUGAGCUG